This 406-nucleotide ribosomal RNA is filed under the name uncultured bacterium. Its description in RNAcentral is "partial 16S ribosomal RNA". It matches the Rfam family "Bacterial small subunit ribosomal RNA", at positions 29 to 526 of the family's 1533-position model. The record is from RNAcentral.
AUUGAACGCUGGCGGCAGGCCUAACACAUGCAAGUCGAACGAGUGGCGGACGGGUGAGUAAUGUCUGGGAAACUGCCUGAUGGAGGGGGAUAACUACUGGAAACGGUAGCUAAUACCGCAUACCAUCGGAUGUGCCCAGAUGGGAUUAGCUAGUAGGUGGGGUAACGGCUCACCUAGGCGACCAUCCCUAGCUGGUCUGAGAGGCUGACCAGCCAGACUGGGACGUAGGCAAGGGCCAGAGUCCCACGGGGGGCAGCAGUGGGGAAUAUGGCCAAAUGGGGGCAAACCUUUAGGAGCCCUGCCGCGUGUAUGAAGGAGGCCUUCGGGUUGUAAAGUUCUUUCGGCGGGGAGGCGGUACCCGCAUGAUAAGCACCGGCUAACUCCGUGCCAGCAGCCGCGGUAAUAC